RNAcentral lists this transfer RNA (76 nucleotides) under Tumulitermes recalvus. Its description in RNAcentral is "tRNA-Tyr". The record is from RNAcentral. Lineage: Eukaryota; Metazoa; Arthropoda; Insecta; Blattodea; Termitidae.
AGUGGGAUGGCUGAGAUUGAUAAGUAGGCGAUAGGCUGUAAAUCUAUUUAGGAGUGUUUACGUUACUCUUCCACUA